Callithrix jacchus (white-tufted-ear marmoset) is the source of this 1718-nucleotide long non-coding RNA. The record is from Ensembl. Lineage: Eukaryota; Metazoa; Chordata; Mammalia; Primates; Cebidae.
GUUUUCUGAAAGCAAGAUCUAAUGGAGACAUUUACCUGGCAACCAAACUGUUGUGUCUUCUUUUAUAAUGUUACAGUUGGGAAUAGGUUGCUCAGUUAAGAACUACAAGUGUAUCAUGCUGGAUCCAUAUGAAUAAGCUUUGCCCAUUGGAUGUGAUUGGAGUUGCUGACAUAACAUUUUGCUCUUUGCUUUCAGAUCUCCCAGUGGAAUGUGAACUAUAAGACAACCUAGAGGAGGGUUGUGCUGCUACACGGAAGAAACCUGGCACCCUGAGUCACUCUGUGAAAUGCUGCUUACUGAUCAGCAACACACGUGGAUAUCUUAUACAAAUCUGGAAAUGAGCACUGCGUACCCGAAUUGCCAGAAACAGUGUGUGUUGCAAGGAAACCACAGAUUAUUUUCACCAAGAGAACAUGUUCACUAGAUUUCUCUCAGGUGUUCAUUCAUACUGAUUAGAAAUAAUGCUGUUUCUCUGAAGUGGAUUAACAAACAUAAAUAGCUAAAACAUUCAUUAUCUAUUAUAACCAAUUUACACUGUAAAUUGAGUAAUGUAGGUUAAGGAUGAGUCAUUUACACUAUUCUAUAUAACUUCCUAGAGGUAAUGAUCAGAAAAUACCAUGGCUAAUUGCCCGGGGUUCUUGGUUUUAGGCACGAAUUAAAAAAAGAAGAGAAAUAAUUUUAGUUGGUGCAUCUAAGCAUAAUUUCUCAAUGAUACAAGGAUGUAAGAGGUAAAGCCCAGAGUGACAAUAAAAAUGAAAUUUAGUGUCAAAAUAAUGUGUAAUAUUAUCACUUGAUCUGUAGUUGCCUCCCUCAUGAUUUUCCAGUAGAUAUCAAGCCUGCCAUAUGUUACAGAUGAUACAAUUUGGCUGUUUCUUUACCGGAAUCUCAUCUUGAAUUGUAAUCCUCAUAAUCCUUAUAAUCCCCAUGUGUCAAGUGAGAGACCAGGUAAAGACAAUUGAAACAUGGGGGUGGUUUCCUUCAUGCUGUUCUUGUGAUAGUGGGUUAUCAUGAGAUCUUACGGUUUUACAGGGUUUGGUAACUUCUCCUGCAUUCAUUUUCCCUCCUACCACCUUGUGAAGAAGGUGCCUUGUUUCCCUUCACCUCUGCCAUGAUUGCAAGUAUCCUGAGGCCUACCCAGCCAUGCUGAAUUGUGAAUUAAUUUAACCUCUUUCCUUUAUGAAUUACCCAGUCUUGGGCAGUUCUUGAUAGCAGAGUAAGAACGAACUAAUACAGUAUACUAGCCAGAGUUAGUGUUAGAAACCUGGAUAUUUUUCUUCUUAAACAAUUUUAAGUUGCUUGAGGUGGAAGGAUAGAAUAUAAUAGACCAGAGUGUGAUGAGAAUUACAUAGGAGGAUGAUAUGGGUGAUUUCAGAGACAGGAGAAAGCUAUGCUUUUGUUACGCUUCCUAUCCCCAUAAUUCAUAGUGGUCAAUAAGUGACUCAAAAGAGUGACAAAAGAGUGAUGAAGCUUCAGAGAACUUAGGAGUGUAGUUCUGCACUGAGAAUCUUGAAAGACAUUUUGAGACUUAGAGAAAAUAGGUUAUAUUCUUAAGGCCUUUGCAGAUACAUUGGAAACAACUUGGCACAAACUCCAUCCACUAGGAAAUCUGGACCACAUUCAGUGAUUUUCGAGAGGCUGGAGCAAUCUAGAAGACACUAAACUAAGCAAGUCAAAGAAAAAAGGACACAAUCACUACGAAUUCAUUCCAUUUCAUUCUC